Molecule: ribosomal RNA, 468 nt
Filed under: uncultured bacterium
Lineage: Bacteria
Description: partial 16S ribosomal RNA
Rfam family: Bacterial small subunit ribosomal RNA
Source: RNAcentral
GACGAACGCUGGCGGCGCUCUUAACACAUGCAAGUCAAACGGAAAGGCCCUGCUGUUGUUUGGUGCUCAAGUGGCUAACGGGUGAGUAACACGUGAGUAACCUGCCCUUGACUUUGGGAUAACUUCAGGAAACUGGGGCUAAUACCGGAUAGGAGCUCCUGCUGCAUGGUGGGGGUUGGAAAGUUUCGGCGGUUGGGGAUGGACUCGCGGCGUAUCAGCUUGUUGGUGGGGUAGUGGCUUACCAAGGCUUUGACGGGUGGCCGGCCUGAGAGGGUGACCGGCCACAUUGGGACUGAGGUACGGCCCAGACUCCUUCGGGAGGCAGGAGUGGGGAAUAUUGCACAAUGGGCGGAAGCCUGAUGCAGCAACGCCGCGUGAGGGAUGACGGCCUUCGGGUUGUAAACCGCUUUCGCCUGUGACGAAGCGUGAGUGACGGUAAAGGGUAAAGAAGCACCGGCUAACUACGUG